UGUAGAAGAAAGCGCAAAACUCUCACCAAUAAGAUAAGCUAUUUUUUUUUGGUUUAUAAUCAUGAAACGCAUAAUACUUUACGAUCGUUAGUUGGUGCUGUUAAUCAAAUCAGAUUGAUUUUGUUUAGUAAUCUACUUAUCAAUAAACAUAGUAAAUAACUAAAUUUAUUAAAUAUAGUAGUCAACUUAGUUCAAUAAUCAAAUUAUUCAAUAUAAUAUGAGAUGAUGUAUGUCAAACUACAAUUCUAAAUAGUUAUAAUAAAUUUAUCAUAAUUGAAUUAUCUAACGUAGUUAAAUACAUUAAACUAAAAAUUUUCAACGCGGUGGAAGUAUGGAUCUCAUAUCUUGUCGUCUACCUUUAUAAUAACCUACUUUUUUUUGGACUUAAACAGUCUACUUUUUAUGUCUAUUAAACUAUUAUACUAUUGUAUGUUUGGAUAUAAUUUUGGUUUGGUGAUACACGCUUAUACGGUGAUGUAUUAGUCGUCAGUUAAGAUUAUAAUAGGGACAUUAUAAUUCACAAGUAUGCAAAAAAAAAAACAUUAUAAUUCACAUGAAUAAAUACUGUAUUAUAUGAUAACUAUAGUAAAAUAAAAAUGAUAACGACCCUGAUACACUUUGCCAAUGAAUUAAUUGUUUUUGAGAUCAAACAAUCGGUCUGUCAUGUUGAUGCUAAGGUUUAUGUUUUUUUUUUCUUUUUAAAAUAGCUGUGUAGAUGACCCCAUCUAUGUCCACUUUUAUAUAGUGGCGUCCAAUAUAGUGUUUUUCAGAACUACCUAAAAAUAUCCAACAAUUAAACUAAACCGACCAUAUACUGCUAUUUUACUAAACCGAAAUGAACCAAACUUCUCUUUAGAAAAGGCUUUUACGACAAUUCAGUUGUCCAAAGAAAAGGAGAAGUAUGCUACAAGCAUAAAGUAGCCCUCAACGUAAACGAAAGAUAAAAAGUGGCCCAAUACGUAACCAACUCAAUUAAUUCCUUAGAAGAUUGGUCGAAACUUAGGGACAUUUAAUAACGUUGUUUCAUUAUUGUAUUAUUAGUGUGAAAAUUAAGUGUAUUGAUGAUGUGGAUGUGGUCACUUUAAAUGCGGAUGAAGACUAUAUAUGGUGAAUUUGUUUUGGGGGAAAUAUUUUAGAUUUUCAGUUCGAUAAAAAGAGAGGUGUGUGUGUGGCGAGAGACUCGAGAGAGUUGAUAGGUUUACGAGAUUAGAGGUUGACAAAGAAGCUGAAUACUUUUUGAAACAAAUAUUUACUUUAAUGUCAGCCGUUAAUUUAUCGAGAUACUAAUUGAACCAAAAACUCAACUUGAAACUAUAAAAUUAUAUUAAUUUAUAGAGAUAUUAAUUUAUAGAUUAUUAAUUUAAAGAGGUUAUACUGUAUAUGCAAUAUCAUCAUCACUAUAUGGGUAAUUGUUGUAAAUUGUUAUUUACUAAGUUAUUCCUCCCAAUAUAAGUAGUCAUCGCCCUUUGCUGUCUUGCAUCUCUUCCCUCUCUCUUUAUACUUGACUAAAGAUUCUAUCAUCCCUCUGUCUUGCAGCUUGUUCUACAGGAUUUCUUUGCAAAAAAAAAGGAGACUUCCACAAUCUUGUAUCAGAGAAAGGAUAUCAGAUAUGGCGACUACUUUGAAUCAACCCACAGAUGAAGAAGGAAUGGAUUCUGCUGAGAACGUCGCCUGAGCUCUGGGAGACCCAGAUUGAUACCAAGAGAGCAGCACUCCUUUUCCUAGUUUUUCUUUUUUCUCUUCUGUUUUUGGUGCCUACGCCUUAGAGUCGUGACAACAGACUCACGGAUCGCACCAGCUCCUCCAGAGGUAGAGCUCCAGCCAUAGGAAGGCAAUAAAAUUAGUACAUUUAAAAAAAAUACUUAGUUAACUUAUAUGUCUAGUUAUUUAUAAAUGUUUUUCUUUUUGUUAUUUAUAAAUGUUUCUUUGUUAUGUAUAAAUGUUGUACCU
This is a long non-coding RNA of Raphanus sativus (radish), 1950 nucleotides long. RefSeq lists it as uncharacterized. NCBI's taxonomy places the organism in Eukaryota, Viridiplantae, Streptophyta, Magnoliopsida, Brassicales, Brassicaceae. The transcript is spliced from 3 exons. The record is from RefSeq and is a predicted model, not a curated record.